Molecule: ribosomal RNA, 774 nt
Filed under: uncultured Neocallimastigales
Lineage: Eukaryota; Fungi; Neocallimastigomycota; Neocallimastigomycetes; Neocallimastigales
Description: partial large subunit ribosomal RNA
Rfam family: Eukaryotic large subunit ribosomal RNA
Source: RNAcentral
UACUAGAGUAGCACUCGCAUAUCAAUAAGCGGAGGAAAAGAAACUAACAAGGAUUCCCCUAGUAACGGCGAGUGAAGCGGGAAGAGCUCAAAUUUGAAAUCUUAAAGGGUUUCCCUUUACGAAUUGUAGUUUAAAGAAGUGUUUUCUGUUGAGGUUUAGGUAGAAGUUCUUUGGAAUAGGACAUCAUAGAGGGUGAGAAUCCCGUAUUUGACCUUUACUUUCAACUUUGUGAUACACUUUCAAAGAGUCGGAUUGUUUGGGAAUGCAGUCCAAAAUGGGUGGUAAAUUUCAUCUAAAGCUAAAUAUUGGCGAGAGACCGAUAGCGAACAAGUACCGUGAGGGAAAGAUGAAAAGAACUUUGAAAAGAGAGUUAAACAGUACGUGAAAUUGUCAAAAGGGAAGCGUUUGACACCAGUGUUGUUUUUCUGAAAAUCAAUUAAAGAACUGUUUAUGCUAAGCUGUUUAGACUUUAUCAGCUAUCUGUUUAGUUUUGAGCUUUUCUUUAAUGCACUUUUCAGUUAACAAGUCAACAUCAAUUUCUUUUGCUGUAAAAAAGCUUGAGGAAGGUGGCUUGAGAUUCGUCUUAAGUGUUUAUAGCCUCUUGCCUAUGCAGUCGGAGAGAUUGAGGUCUGCAGCGUAGAUCCUUCGGGGCUAAAUGCAUUUGUGCUAAGUUAUAGCAUUUUAUAGACAACUUGUUGACUAUGAUUUGUCUUGUAGCUUACUCGCUUAUGUUAUUUUACCUACGCUUAGGAUGUUGAGCGCAUGUCUCUCUCU